GGCAGGGGACAUGGGUUAUUCGAACACGCGCAGAACCUUACCAGCUCUUGACAUCCGGGGUCUGGGCAUUGGACACGAUGUCCUCCACUGAGGCUGGCCCCCGAGCGGGGGCUGCAUGUCGGCCGCUCGCGCGGGUCGAUGGUUGUUGAGUAAACUCCACUAACGAAACCAACCUUCUCAAUUAAUACCAACAAUUUGGGGGGUCCCCUUAGAGUGCCGGCUUUUAUAAAACAAAAAGAACGGGGGGAUUUCCUCUCAUCUAUCAAGUCCCAUUAUGUGGUGGAGCCAAACGGUUAAAAUUAUGGUGGAAACGGUGAGCAAUGAUACCACGAGGACUAAUUCACCUCCAAAAAACCUUUCUCACUCUUAGUGCUCUCUGCAACCCGUGUGCAAUGAAUGUAAAACCUCCAAACUCAGCGAUGUAAGUAAUAUCUCUGCAGAAGAAUAUGCCACGCAGGAUCUUAUCCCUCAACUUUAAAGUAAAAUCCUACUAUUCUUC
RNAcentral lists this ribosomal RNA (499 nucleotides) under Rhizobium sp. DASA21005. Its description in RNAcentral is "partial 16S ribosomal RNA". Lineage: Bacteria; Pseudomonadati; Pseudomonadota; Alphaproteobacteria; Hyphomicrobiales; Rhizobiaceae. The record is from RNAcentral.